Molecule: long non-coding RNA, 1713 nt
Organism: Dreissena polymorpha
Lineage: Eukaryota; Metazoa; Mollusca; Bivalvia; Myida; Dreissenidae
Exons: 3
Source: RefSeq, a predicted model, not a curated record
UUCUCAAUUUUAGAGUCAUACUAACGCAGCAAAACUCUGGCAUGUCACGAGACGUCUGUUCCGAUUGUGGAAGUCAAGUUGUCACAUUGGAAUCCGAGGAAGAAGACAAGUUCGUUACUGCAAAGUUCAUUUCGUUAUAUGAAAAUGGAUCUGUUGGAUACUGGCUGGGCAUUAAGAAAACAGAAAAUGGAUCUCUUCCCAAUGUGAGCUACAACAACUUCAGCCCAGUUGAAAUGAAUGGCGGCCUAAAUGAGAUGUGUUUCGGCGUCUAUGAAGCAGCAAACUGGACUUGGGUGGACCUGAGGUGUGAUAUGAAUUAUAACAUUCACGUUGUCUGCGAAACGGUUCCAUGAAUACACCCGUGUAUUAGAAUGUAUAACAUAAGGAGUGGGGUAUUGAAAUACUCAACACACUUAGGAAAUACGAUUUCUGAAAAGUUUAAAGCAAAUUAAUGUACCCUAUUUGGAACAAUUGAUAAUUAAACAUACUUAACUUAUGUGUUUUACGUGAAUAACAGCAUUCAAAAAAUAUUGCAAAAAAUAUACAUGAAGAACAACUUUAUACAACUGAAUAUUCAAACAUUAAAUUAAAGUAGAUAACAAGCUACUGGUGUAAACUAUUUCGAUAUGUUCUGAAACUGAUAUGCUAAUUAGUUUUUCAUAGAACUGCAACUUCAACUUUAUCGUCGUAUACGCAGUUUUCUUAGUGUCUUAAUCUUAUUGAUUAUGUAUUCCAUUAUUUUGCAAGUGAUCGCCUGUCUACUUUUUUGCAAGACUGUUUGGUUUGUGUUUAUUCACGUGAGUAUACGCCACGUUGCUUUCAAAUCUAGAUAUUUUGCAUCGUUUUCCUUUUCAUGUCCUAUUUACUUUUUUCCGUCAUGAAUACAAAUGUAAAUGUUGAUGUCUUUAAAUUCACUGCUUGAUCUGGCAAUUCUUUAUCAACAAUAUUUAAAAUAGUGUGUAAUUUACGAGAAUAUACAUUAAAUUUAAAUCGGUUGUUUGCAUGGCAAUAACUUUAAUAUGACGUUAGCAGACAUCCAUGUCAACAACGAAGUGCAAGAAAGUGAGUGUUUGAAUCAUAGGCCAGUCAAUCAUGGGCCAGCAAACAAGCAUCCAUAAACUACGUUACCUCUCCGAUCACAUGUUGAUCUUAUCAAGGAGAUAUUAUCAUAAAAAUCUAAUGUUAUUUACUCAAAUUGACAGCCUUUGGUGUAAGUUUAACCAAUCAACGCAAGCCAUGCACCAUUGCCCCAAUAUGACCAUGCUCAUUACAAACUGGGCAAAAAAUAACAAAUACUCUUUGUGAUCAUAUGUUAACUUUAUCUGGUCAAUGCAACCAAUUAUAACAAUUAUUCGUGAUUAAAAUGCAUACUAUGAUCAAUAGAAGACUAUCGAGUGUUGUGUUACGCUUUUUGUGCUUUGACUUAAAAAAGGUUUCAUUUCAUAUGUUUUUAUAAUUGUAUAAAUCAGUUCUUUAUUUGGUAAAGGAAAAAGUGUGUUCGCUGUUAAUAAUGUUUAUCUUAUGUUCGCAGUGCUUUUUCAACGGUCUUCAAGACCGGUUACUCUAAAUUCGAAAGAGAGCGUUAUUCUUGGUAAUUAAUUGAUCUUAUUGUGGCUGUCAGGAAAUGUUAAGAUAACGUGUAAGUGCUAUACAAACACGCAAUUAUUGACGAUAUGGAAUAUUGUACAAUCGACCUAUUUAUAUGCGUCUUGU